UACCAGCUCCAGAAGGGUCUGUGGUAGUUGCUGCAGUUAAAAGGUCCGCAGCCGGGGAGACGCACCGUGGGGAAAGCAGGCGGCUCAAAGGGAGAGCAGAGCACGGAAGAAGGGCAAAAAGGGGCAGAGAGGGGCAGGAGGAUUUGGCAGCCAGAGGUGAAAUUCGGAGACUUGUCGAGGACGGACAGAGGCGAAGGCGCCUGCCAGGGAUGCUUUCAUUGGUCAGGGACGAAAGCCGGAGGAUCGAAGACG
RNAcentral lists this unclassified non-coding RNA (252 nucleotides) under uncultured bacterium. RNAcentral's name for it is "contains 16S-23S intergenic spacer region". It matches the Rfam family "Microsporidia small subunit ribosomal RNA", at positions 409 to 659 of the family's 1311-position model. The record is from RNAcentral.